GACGAACGCUGGCGGCGUGCUUAACACAUGCAAGUCGAACGGAAAGGCCCCUUUGGGGGUCCUCGAGUGGCGAACGGGUGAGUAACACGUGAGUAACCUGCCCUUGACUUCGGGAUAACUUCAUGAAACUGGGGCUAAUACCGGAUAGGAAUCCUUGCUUCAUGGUGGGGGUUGGAAAGCUUCGGCGGUUUUGGAUGGACUCGCGGCUUAUCAGCUUGUUGGUGGGGUAGUGGCUUACCAAGGCUUUGACGGGUAGCCGGCCUGAGAGGGCGACCGGCCACAUUGGGACUGAGAUACGGCCCAGACUCCUACGGGAGGCAGCAGUGGGGAAUAUUGCACAAUGGGCGGAAGCCUGAUGCAGCAACGCCGCGUGCGGGAUGACGGCCUUCGGGUUGUAAACCGCUUUCAGCAGGGGCGAAGCUUGUGGUGACGGUACCUGCAGAAGAAGCACCGGCUAACUACGUG
RNAcentral lists this ribosomal RNA (465 nucleotides) under uncultured bacterium. Its description in RNAcentral is "partial 16S ribosomal RNA". It matches the Rfam family "Bacterial small subunit ribosomal RNA", at positions 28 to 507 of the family's 1533-position model. The record is from RNAcentral.